Molecule: unclassified non-coding RNA, 362 nt
Filed under: uncultured Orbiliaceae
Lineage: Eukaryota; Fungi; Ascomycota; Orbiliomycetes; Orbiliales
Description: sequence contains ITS2
Rfam family: 5.8S ribosomal RNA (bases 1-153)
Source: RNAcentral
AACUUUUGACAACGGAUCUCUUGGUUCUGGCAACGAUGAAGAACGCAGCGAAAUGCGAUAAGUACUGUGAAUUGCAGAAUUCAGUGAAUCAUCGAAUCUUUGAACGCACAUUGCGCCCCUGGUAUUCCGGGGGGCACACCUGUUCGAGCGCCAUUUCUACCCUAGAGCCCUGCUCUGUGAUGGGCCUCGUCCUCGCGGACGGGCCCGAAACCCGUGGGCGCCGUCGUCCGGCCCUGAGCGUAGCAAGAGAAAUCCCUCGCUCGGAGUGUCUGGUGGUGGCUGCCCCGACCUAUUUUUACAAGGUUGGCCUCGGAUCAGGUGGGGAUACCCGCUGAACUUAAGCAUAUCAAUAAGCGGAGGCU